This 128-nucleotide small RNA is filed under the name Klebsiella aerogenes. Its description in RNAcentral is "partial RtT sRNA". It matches the Rfam family "RtT RNA". From Rfam's summary of the family: This family represents a bacterial cis-regulatory element known as RtT RNA. The record is from RNAcentral. Lineage: Bacteria; Pseudomonadati; Pseudomonadota; Gammaproteobacteria; Enterobacterales; Enterobacteriaceae.
UAUUCUGCCCUACGGGGAAGGAUGAGAAGCUUCGACUAAGGUUCGACUCGAGCGUCAGCGAGAGAACGUUGCCGCAGGCAACGGCCCGAAGGGCGAGGCGCUUUAGCGCCGAGUAAUCCUUCCCCCAC